GUUUAAAUUUAGCUAAUCAACUUUAGGUUCGUUCGUAAUAUUUAUUUACUAUGAUAGCGGAAGUUACUAGUCUCGGACUCGAAACAGAGUAGCUGGCUCUGUUUAUCUCAAAAUUAAGUCACAAAAGCUUUCAAGAUUAAUUCUUAUCCUCUCUCAAUUUUUUAUUCGUUGUUUCUUCUCACUUCUGGUGAAUCAAAUUUCCAACCAAUAAAAUCAACAAGGGAGAUCUCACGAGGAUGAUGAAGAAGGAACAUGAAGAGGAUUUUGUGGAAACCAUCAAGAUCCGACCUGUAUAUCCAUGGAUGAUCUCAUCUUUUCUUCUUACUCCAUCUGAAACACUCAAGACUAAUAUCUAUUGUUUUAAGACUUAAAAAACUGAUUUCAGUAGUUUUUGCUUAUUC
Long non-coding RNA from Camelina sativa (false flax), 401 nucleotides. RefSeq lists it as uncharacterized. NCBI's taxonomy places the organism in Eukaryota, Viridiplantae, Streptophyta, Magnoliopsida, Brassicales, Brassicaceae. The record is from RefSeq and is a predicted model, not a curated record.